RNAcentral lists this long non-coding RNA (345 nucleotides) under Trifolium pratense (red clover). RNAcentral describes it as "long non-coding RNA (TPRA_LNC003470)". The record is from RNAcentral. Lineage: Eukaryota; Viridiplantae; Streptophyta; Magnoliopsida; Fabales; Fabaceae.
GGCGGUUUCAAACUGCUGCAAAAACAAAAAAAUAAAAAAUCAAAUAGCAACGGUUUCAAAACUGCUGCAAAAACAAAAAAAUAAAAAAUCAAAUAGUAACGGUUUCAAACCGUUGCAAAACUGGCUAAAAUUUGUGUUUUGCGUUUCGCUUAUUGCAACGGUUUUAGAACCGUUGCAACACAUACUGUGGCCGUUUGUGUAACGGUUUUUCAAACCGUUGCUAUUUGAGCUACCAACGCUCAAAUCUGCAACAGUUUGGCAACUGUUGCUAAAAAUGCUGCAACAUUUAAAAAAUGUUGCUAAAUCGUCCCAAAACUGUUGCUAAACACAUUUUUUCUUGUAGUG